This is a long non-coding RNA of Anser brachyrhynchus (Pink-footed goose), 1678 nucleotides long. NCBI's taxonomy places the organism in Eukaryota, Metazoa, Chordata, Aves, Anseriformes, Anatidae. The record is from Ensembl.
UGUACAUUUGUUCACCUCUGUAGUCAUGUCAUAUUCUUCAUGAUGUACCUGCAGUAUUCUUUAAAGUACAUUCCCUCAUUGACAGUCAUCUGCCUACACAUGUGUAUAUAGUUAGCUAAUCAGUGCUUUUCCAUGAUAUAGUCUAUUGGGAUUAGAAAUUAGAUUUUAUGACUUGUUGACAAAUCUAUCAUAAAAAAAAAUACAUGUCCUGACUCUGACAUUGCUUUCAAGUAGCUGGUGUUUCCUGUUCUGACAACCUGUAGAAAAAAGUGACUUUAAUAUGCAGAAUUUUGAAUAUAAAUGAUUUUUUUAAAUAUAGCAGAGAUAAUGGUCCUGGGCAACCUGCUCUAGGUGGCCCUUCUUGAGCAAGGGAUUGGACAAGAUGACUUCCAGCGGUCCCUUCCAGACAUUCUGUGAUUCUGUGAGAAAACUUCAGUCACCUCACAAUCUAGAAUCUUGCCAGUUUUCAAACACAAUUAUGCAUUUACAUGUUGCUGCUGCAAGAGCUGAAGAAGAAAUCUUCUGCAGAUGCAUGCAGGUGUAUAUACACACACUCACACCCUCUACUUCAUGGAGAGGGAGAACACAUUUAAAUAGCUGCCAUUUAGCAUGCAUGGAGGAUAUUUUCCAGCAGUUUGACUUCCACUGUCAGCCAUGUAUAACAACCGUGUUGAUGGAUAAACCAUAUUUACUAGCAAUAUUUUGGAUCAAAGAAGAAGAUUAUGGUUUAGACAAGUACUAGUGUUUUGUUAUUGCCGUAUAAUAUUCCCAAUAAGUUGCUCCUUCCAUUGGGAUUUUGCAGUUACCAGUCAUGUUUCAGUGGUGCUAGGAAAUUUCAUUUUGCUCAUCAGUUCUCACAUGCAGCAGAAAUGUAUUGAUGUCUGAGAUCAUGGAGCACGUUGCACAAAAAACAGGGCAGAAGAGUAGCACAUCCCUUGAAGUAGGGGCACAGCUUCCUAACUCCAAAGUCCACUGCCACGAGCUCUCUCAAAGAGCAGAGGGUCAGAGUCAUAGCUAGAUGGACAUCCAGCUUUGCUGCCUUACAGCUGUCCUUUUGAAAAGUAGGCAGAGAAAAACAUUUUAGGAAGAUAAAAUCAUAGUAGCUGGUUUUCUCUCAUCCUGUCUGACAGCUCAGCAUAUCUACAUAUUGCCUGCUCUUAAAUUAGACCCUACAGUUCUGUUUUCUUCAAUGGCAAUGACAAACUUACAGGACAACAGUACUGCUUUGGAAAAGAAUUAAAAGGCCUGAGGUCUUCUUUCAGUCAUACUUCUGGUCAGCACCCUUGUGGCUAAAAAGAAGCUGCAAACCUGUGUUUCCAAGCAUUACAGUGGCUUUUCUAAAGAAAAAGCACCUACACCUUGUGCAAAACACAGCAGCUGCAUCAGCACACAGCCCUGAAAGUGCAAGCCUACUGCUGGCAGAGACAGAUGGCACAGCAAGGCAAGGUAGGAGCCUCGGGCUUUGCUGGUGACUUUUGUGAAGUAUUUGGUCCUGGAUAAGUUUGGUCCUCGAUAAGCUGGGGAACGUGAUGUGAUUACAGCAACAGGUACCAGGUUGUGGCCAUCCAGAGAAACUGCCGCUUGCUGCUGCUGAGCCACAUUAGCUUUGCAGCUGAUAUCAGUAUCAGAGGGUUUGAUUCUCAGGCAGCUGGCUGAUAAUCUAUUUGAAAUCUUUUCC